AUGUUUCUACCACACUAUAACAGGAGAAAAAUAUCUUUUUAAAAAUUUGAUCAGGUAUCCAUGGUAUCAGAAUAAUGACAUCUGCCCAAUUAACCAAAUAAACCCUGUCCGUAUUGCUAUCACACUACAGAUCUCGGAGUUACAACAUUCAUAAUUAUCUGCAUUUACAUAGUGCAUUUUGCUUCUCAAACAGCUUCCAUGGUUACUAUUUUGUUAAUGAUACUAUCAUUCCUAAUACUUUCUAUUCAAUGCCUUUGGGUAAAUGAAAUAAAAACUAUUAUCCCAACAAAUUACAUUCCCCUCUGUCAUGUCAAUAUUGGAAUUGUAGCUCAUAGGUGUUUGCUUACAUCAUUCACCAAGAAGGAAGAAUGAUAGAGAAAACUUGUGCUCUGACACUACUGAUUCUUACAUAGUGGAACAAUAUCUUUCUUGAUAAUGAAUUGUGGUUAUUGUAAAUCAGUGAUCACGUGACCCUAAAGGCACCCAAAUAAAUCUUUAGUAAAAUAAUUAUGAUGACACAAUGAAUGAAUUAUUUUUAAGGCAUUUUCUUGGACUGGCAAUGUAUUCUUAGAGUGGCGACCGAACGUGCAUACGUCAAUGAUCCAUGUUUUACUCAUUCUAGGGCUCCCCAGGCCACCCAGGGCAACCAGGCCCUCCUGGACCUCCUGGUGCCCCUGGUCCUUGCUGUGGUGGUGUUGGAGCCGCUGCCAUUGCUGGGAUUGGAGGUGAAAAAGCUGGCGGUUAUGCCCCAUAUUAUGGAGAUGAACCAAUGGACUUCAAAAUCAACACCGAUGAGAUUAUGACUUCACUCAAGUCUGUUAAUGGACAAAUAGAAAGCCUCAUUAGUCCUGAUGGUUCUCGUAAAAACCCUGCUAGAAACUGCAGAGACCUGAAAUUCUGCCAUCCCGAACUCAAGAGUGGAGAAUACUGGGUUGACCCUAACCAAGGAUGCAAAUUGGAUGCUAUCAAGGUAUUCUGUAAUAUGGAAACUGGGGAAACAUGCAUAAGUGCCAGUCCUUUGAAUGUUCCACGGAAACACUGGUGGACAGAUUCUAGUGCUGAGAAGAAACACGUUUGGUUUGGAGAGUCCAUGGAUGGUGGUUUUCAGGUAGGAAAGGAUAUACCUUUUUUUAAACAAGUCACCUCUAUAUCCUUUGAAUUCUUCCUAUAUGUUCAUCACAAAGCAAAGUUACUAGGUUGGUACAAACAUAAUUGCAGUUUUUGCCACUGAAAGUGAUGGCAUGCAAUAAAAAUACGUUCACACAUAAAAUACUCAUACAUAAAAUAAAUAAAUAUCCCAUAUUACAAUAUGCAUACACAUACUACAUGAAUCCCUUGCGUGCAGUUGCAACUAAAAUGUUUGAUCUGUUUUAUUUGUUCCCUAUUAUAGUUUAGCUAUGGCAAUCCUGAACUUCCUGAAGAUGUCCUUGAUGUGCAGCUGGCAUUCCUUCGACUUCUCUCCAGCCGAGCUUCCCAGAACAUCACAUAUCACUGCAAAAAUAGCAUUGCAUACAUGGAUCAGGCCAGUGGAAAUGUAAAGAAGGCCCUGAAGCUGAUGGGGUCAAAUGAAGGUGAAUUCAAGGCUGAAGGAAAUAGCAAAUUCACCUACACAGUUCUGGAGGAUGGUUGCACGAAACACACUGGGGAAUGGAGCAAAACAGUCUUUGAAUAUCGAACACGCAAGGCUGUGAGACUACCUAUUGUAGAUAUUGCACCCUAUGACAUUGGUGGUCCUGAUCAAGAAUUUGGUGUGGACGUUGGCCCUGUUUGCUUUUUAUAAACCAAACUCUAUCUGAAAUCCCAACAAAAAAAAUUUAACUCCAUAUGUGUUCCUCUUGUUUUAAUCUUGUCAACCAGUGCAAGUGACCAACAAAAUUCCAGUUUAUUUAUUUCCAAAAUGUUUGGAAAGAGUAUAAUUUGACAAAGAAAAAUGAUACUUGUUUUUUUUUUUUUUGCUGUUCCACCAAAUACAAUUCAAAUGCUUUUUGUUUUAUUUUUUUACCAAUUCCAAUUUCAAAAUGUCUCAAUGGUGCUAUAAUAAAUAAACUUCAACACUCUUA
Molecule: small RNA, 2060 nt
Filed under: Pongo abelii (Sumatran orangutan)
Lineage: Eukaryota; Metazoa; Chordata; Mammalia; Primates; Hominidae
Description: retained intron
Source: RNAcentral